CGCGCAGGCGGUCGAUCAAGUCGAGUGUGAAAGCCCCCGGCUCAACUGGGGAGGGUCAUUUGAAACUGGUCGACUCGAAGGCAGGAGAGGGUAGUGGAAUUCCCGGUGUAGUGGUGAAAUGCGUAGAUAUCGGGAGGAACACCAGUGGCGAAGGCGACUACCUGGCCUGUUCUUGACGCUGAGGCGCGAAAGCUAGGGGAGGCAAACG
RNAcentral lists this ribosomal RNA (208 nucleotides) under uncultured bacterium. Its description in RNAcentral is "partial 16S ribosomal RNA". It matches the Rfam family "Bacterial small subunit ribosomal RNA", at positions 568 to 775 of the family's 1533-position model. The record is from RNAcentral.